AAGAAAGAUAUAAUGGUUAUGAUGUUGGCUUGAAACCGAUUAGAGGGGGUUCGAUUCCUUCCUUUCUUG
This 69-nucleotide transfer RNA is filed under the name Delphinus delphis (saddleback dolphin). RNAcentral describes it as "tRNA-Ser". The record is from RNAcentral. Lineage: Eukaryota; Metazoa; Chordata; Mammalia; Artiodactyla; Delphinidae.